UAUAACCCAAGCUGGUCUCAAACUCCAGGACUGAAGCAGUCCACAUGUCUGGGCUUCCCAAAGUGCUGGGAUUGUAGGCAUGAACCACCGCGGUUGACACUACCAUUAUUAUUUUGUUACUCAAAUUAUUCCAGCUUUGGUUGUUGUUAACUAUUUCAGAUUGGCCCUGUGUCCUCUUGACAUGUCCUUUUAUGUGUUUUUUUUUUUUUUUUUUAAGUAUUUUUCCUGCCCCACAUCUAACAAGAAGCUGUGGUUACUUUUUCAGGAGGCUGGUAUUUAGAAACUAAGCUCUAAGCAUUAGAAGUGCUUAUUCCUACUAGGUGUCAUUGCUUCUAUGCCUGCACAGAGAACAGAGCUAGGAAAUAUAUUUGUAUAUACUAACCCCUGUAUACAGACACAUCUAUAUUUCUAUAUAUAAACAAAUUUGUACUUAUACCUUUGACUAUAAUCUGACACCCCAGCAUUCAUUCCUGCUUUCCCCUUAUCUGUGAUUUCUUUCCCUGACAAUGAGAAAUCUGCAAUAUCUAAAAUGUAUUUUAUUUUUCAGUGUAAAGUAGAUACAUACUGGUUAACUUGUACCUUUGUGAGAAACGAAUUCACCACCAAGAAGAAUUUAGUAUUUAUUUCUUUGAUUUUUAUUUCUUUAACCCUAUUGACCAGGAUAUUUCUUUCAUUUUUUCCUUUAUGCUUACAUUAUAUAGUUAAAACAGUUUCCCAAAGUUACUUAGGUUUGUUAUUUGUUUAUAGUUCUAUGGGUUUUGACAAAUACAUGGUCAUAUAUCCACCACUACAGUACUGUUGUGCAGAACAGUUUCAUCAUCCUCAAAUUUCCCUCUUGUUGUCAUUUUGUAGUUAACCCUUCUUCCCUCUCAUAACUCCUGGAAACCAUUGAUCUGUUUUCUGUUUCUACAGUUUUUCCUUUUCGAUAAUGCCAUAUAAAUUGCAUCAUAAAAUACGUAAUAUUUUGGAUCUGGCUUCUUUCACUUAGAAAAGCACAUUUAAGAUUCAUCUAUGUUGUUGAGUGAAUCAAUAGCUUCUUCCUUUUUAUUGCAGAAUAAUAUUCCAUUGUACCACUGUUUAUAUGUUCACCUGUUCAAGUAUAUCUUGGUUGUUUCCAGUUUGAGGCAAUUAUGAAUACAGCUGCUAUAAACAUUUGUGUAAAUAAAUUUUCAAUUGAUUUGGGCAAGUACUUAGGAAUGGUAUUGCAGGGUCGUAUAGUAAGUGUAUGUUUAAAUUUGUAAGAAACUUCUAAACUUUUCCAGGGUGAUUGUAUCAUUUUUGCAUUCUGACAUGGAUGUUGGCAGAAUUUCACUGCUGGAUAUUCUUCCCUGUUCAUUCAGUGCCACAGGGGAAAGCUUACUCUGGAUUCAUCUUUGAGCACCUGUGUCCUCUAUGUCUCCCGAGGAAUAAAAACCUUUAUCUGCAGAGUGAAGGGCAACAGAUGGCCAUAGGAACAUCCGGCCAAGUGUUCCUAUGCCUGUCUCUUUCCAGAUUUCAAGUUAAUUUUUUGUGCUAUGACCUUGUUUACUUAUGGGUUCAAGAAAAUUUGUUUGUUUAUGAUUUGUCUAGCUUUUUUAUUGUUCUGAGCAUGGGCACAGUGCUUUUACCAUCUCUCUACCUUUUCAAGUUGUUCAUAUGUCUUUAAAUGAGUGAUGGUGGCCCCCACAUCUCUAGGAUACUUAGAUUCAACUGGAUACAUUAAACUGAAUGAUAAAUCAAGAUGUAUUUAAGCAUCAUUACUUUCAGUAUGCCAGAAAUUACAUCCUUUGCAACUAAUUAAACUUAGGCUGGAAAAAAUACAUCAACUUUAAAAUACGUAAAAUGUUAUGAAUAGUUUUUAAGAAUUAGACAAAAAACAAGGGACAUGUUUGAAAACCAGUGCUUAAUUAGAUAGGGAGAAAGGUGGGACAUUACUCAUGUUUUCUCACCCUAUUUCAUUCACUGGGCUGUUUAUUCUAAAGGAAUGCAUUCCUGCUGGCAUCACCCUUUAAGUCAGAGUUACUUACUAGGGUGGAGGAAUGACACAUUCACCUCAUGCUCAAACUUGAAGGGUGUGUCAAAAUACUCAGUAAUUCAGAUAAAUAUUUUAUUGCAGUAUUUAAAAAAAUCAAAAUUCAUGCCAAAAGUUUGAUUAACAGUAUGUCAGAAUUUCAAAUAAAGAUAGCAUUUAACCCUGUACUUGUACUAAUUCCAAGCUGAAACCUUAAGUCUUUUGUUCUUAGGUUUUUAAAUGAAUGAUUUUGGGUCUCAAAUCCCUAGGAUACUCUCAAUGGAUACAUUUACAAACAAUGAUAUAACUCCCUAAUCUCUUCACCCUAAUUCUGGCACUGCUGCAAGAUAUGAUGAAGAAAGGGAACUACCAUUUUUAAGCUAUUAUUUUAUGGAAACUAUACAUCUGCUUUGUGAAGUCUAUUUUAACUGUUUAUUGUCAAAGUCUUGCUCAGCAUAUAUCGGAGCAGGUAUUCAAAUUCAGGUCUGCCAUCGAAGCCAAACCUUUUCAUCAAAGCAAAUGUGUAGAAUGGUGGCGAUCCUUUGGAGUUAAGCCCUUCUGGUGCAAGGGAACUCCCAAAAGAUUUGUAGAACCGUAAAACAUGCCCAACAUCACCAAACAUUUUAAGUAGGGAUUAUUGCCCAUGCUGCUUUGCUAGGUGCUAAAUAGAGUUAUUCACAUAUGGUAGCUGUAAUUAAGUAACCUAUAUCCUUGAUGACUCUAAUAAUGCAAAUCAUGUCAAGAAUAUGACACAAGGCCCGGCACAGUGACUCAUGCCUGUAAUCCUAUUACUUUGGGAGGUCGAGGCAGGUGGAUCACUUGAGUUCAGGAGUUCAAGAUCAGCCUGGCCAAUAUGAUGAAACCCCAUCUCUACUAAAAAUACAAAUAUUGGCUGAGCAUGAUGGAACGUUUCUGUAAUCCCACCUACUCAGUAGGCUGAGGCAGGAGAAUUGCUUGAACCCAGGAGGUAGAGGCUGUAGUAAGCUGAGAUUUUGCCACUACAUUCCAGCCUGGGCAAUAGCAAGAUGCUGUCUUAAAAAAAUUAAAUGCAUUAUAAAAUGUUUGGUACAGAAAUAAGAAUGAAUCUUUGGUGGCAGAGAGAAGCUCCUUUAAAAAAAUCUUUCAUAAUCUUUUUUUUUUAAUUUUUUUUCCAAGAAAAAAAAAGAGAAAGAAAAAAGGAAUGAAGAAGAGGAAGAAAGAGGAAGAAGAAGAGGGAGAGAGAAUGGGGGUGUUGCUUUAUUGCCCAGGCUAGAAUGCAGUCUGAAAAUGGGUAUAGAAAACCUCCUUUAUGCCAUUAAUUGUGCUUAAUAAUGGCCAACCAGUAUUUCAUUUAAACCUAUGAGUAGGUGUGAUCUGGUACUGAUAAGAGUAUAUAUUUUGUGUAUUUAAGUGGAGAGUUCUAUAAAUGUUUAUUAAGUUUACUUGUUCCAGAUCUGAGUUCAAGUCCUGGAUAUCCUUAUUAAUUUUCUGUCUCCUUGAUCUAUCUAAUAUUGAUGUUGAAGUCUCCCACUAUUAUUGUGUAUUUUAAAAAAAUCUUUCAUAAUCUUUGUUACUAUACUUCAUAUAUUUAAAAUUUGACCUUGCUACCUUAAGUGUUACAACUCUGAUGUAAACAACCAUUUAUUACUACAGUCGCCUCUUCUCUUCCAUUUAUUACUGCAGUCACCUCCUAACUGGUUUCCUGUUUUGCUGUAUGCUUCCAUCCCUCUACUCUCUCCCAUCUAAACUCUCUUUUCCUUACUGUAGCCAAAGCAGCUUACAAUCAUGGGGGGAUGUUGAAGGGGAAGCAAGCAUGUUUGUCUUUACAUGGUGUCAGAAGAGAGGGUAAAGGGGAAAGUGCUACACACUUAAAAAGAAAAAUCUCCUGAAAACCCAUUAUUACAAGAACAGCAAGGGAGAAAUAUGCUCCCAUAAUCCAGUGACCUCCCACCAGGACUCUCCCCCAACAUUGGGAAUUAUAAUUCAACAUGAGAUUUGGGUGGAUACACAGAGUCAAAGCAUAUUAAAAGGUAGGUUAAAACAUAGCCCUGAUCUUGGAGCUUACAGUAAAAUAAAGAAUAAAUGACAUGUUUAGAAAAUGGCCAGUCUUUCAGUUGGGCCAGAAUGUUUAUUAGCUUAUACAUUCCGCCUGACCCCUGUCAGGUUUAUUAAAUACAUAGUGCCCUAUUCUAUUUUGUUUUAGCCACACAUGUUAAGUUUGGCAUGUGAAGGCUGGAGAGAUAUGUAUGAUGUUUUAGUUCUUAUUUUAAAAAUAUGAUUAAAAUUUUCAUACUGCCACAGCCUGAUAAUUUUGGUUGAUGUUUAUCCAAUUUAGGCUCUGGGACAGAUAUUUCACAAAAUUUGCAUUACAGCUUCUAGUGAGUUAUAUUGUAAAAUAACCUAUUUAGUAGUUUAGUGUUUAAGAUGUUUUAGUGUAAUUUAAAUAUAUUUAAUAUUUCAAGACCACACUGAAUGUUGCUUCUGCAUUGGUUUUAGUAAAAUGCCUCAGAUUCGAUACCAUAUAUUAUCUAUUAGCAAAUAAUUGUUUAGUGGAUAUAUGAAAAUAUAACAAAUUUUAAAUACUUCCUUCCACAUAUUUCUGAAUACUGAUGUAAAUUUAACUAAACAUCAAAUGGCCUAAACUAUACUGUGUGAGUUGCAGGAUAUUUUGGCAACUGCUGAACUAUAGUACUCUCAUCUUUUUAGGAUGUGACUCUUCCUUAUGAUUUGGCAAGGAAAUUGGCAGUUGGGCAUGUUAGUGAAUUCUUCAUCUCAGUACAUGAUAUUCAGUUGCUCAUUAACUCAGUUGUUCAAGCCAGAACCUCAGGAGCAAGGCCAAAGUAUAAGGUUGUGAACAAGAACACCAAGCCAAGGUGUUUCAUGGAUGCUGGCAGAAGACAUGAGACUCUGUGUCAGAGAUGAAGAAUUAAUAAUCCAAUGAUAUAGCUCAGAUCCUGCUCCACUACAUCAUGUAGGGCAGGAUCUGAGACGUAUAUUUCUCAGUUUGAGGAACCACUGAAGUUUCAGUAGGCUAUUACACCUUUAGGUUUUUCAAGAGCAAACCCCUAAACAGCUUAGCCUUAGAGUAUUCCAUGCUGUCUGUGGUUGAGCACAUACACAGAGCUGCUGAUUGUACAACUCCAACAACCCCCGACUCUGCCCUUCCCGCCAGUUAAGUUCUGCAUCUAUGCCCUGCAGGAUCUCAUUCUGUCACCCAGGCUGGAGUGCAGUGGUGUGAUUAUGGCUCAUGGCUCACUGUAGUCUUGACCUCCGAGGCUCAAGUGAUCUUCCCACCUCACAGUCUCCCAAGCAGGUGGGGGCUACAGUUCUCUAUUUAGCAGCUGUACAGCAAUUUACAGUUUGCAAAGAACAUUCCAGUAUUUUGUUUAAACUCCAUGAAAAAUGCAAAACAGGAGCUCUGGUCCCAGUUUACAGAAUCUUCACUGGUAGAAGACAAACUGUCAUCCCGUCGGCCCUCUUCACUUUGGAAAGGAAUGCUUGGUGAGAAGCCUCCUGGAGUUUUGGGAGAACUGAACACGGAACAUGAUCCUUCACUAUUUGAUGAGUAAUGGGAUGGACCUUCAAUGGUUACUGACAAAAGGUCAAGUUCUGUUUCCUCUGGAAACUGAUUGUAAAAAAGAAAAAACAUGAAUCAGAUUUAUAUUUCAAUUAAAAAAAGAAAAUAUAUAUAAAUUUAAACAUUUAAAAAUUAUCUCAGAGUUGAAUUUCCUCACUCUAAACUGAAAGAAAGGUCAGAUUCAUGAACAUAUGAAAUGGUACACCAAGGAAGGAAGCAAAAGGGCCAACCUCAGAAAGUUAUACUACACUAAAAAUCAGAAUGAAACUUUACUUUAUAUAAACAUAUAUUACUAUAUUAAUAAGUAAACACUAAUUCUUUAAAGCAGAAGUUAAACGUGGAAGCAAAAGAAACAUGAUUAAUUGUAAAUCAGAAUGGCAAGAGCAAUUAGUGAUGGAAGAGCAUGCUGUGUCAGUACAAAGUUUAUUGUUUUCUCAUCAUGAUAUUAGAUGCUUUUUGUGGAUGUAUCUUUUAAAAAUGAGCCCCACAUUAGUUAAACAAAAAUGUGCAAAUAGCUGAGUAAUAAAACAUGUAUCAAACUGAAGAAUGCUGUAUUUUGGGGUAAAUACAUUUGGUUCUCUGUAAACCCCAACAGAUUCAAUCAAGUACAGACAGAAAAUAUUGGGGGGAAAUAAUAGUACAACAAUAAAAAACAAUAAACAAAAGUUAUAACAACUAUUUAUAAUAUCAUUUAAAGUGUACUACACAUUGUAAGUAAUCUAGAGAUGAUUUAAUGUAUAUGGGAGGAUGUGCGUAGGUUAUGUGCAAAUACUGCACCAUUUUAUAAAAGGGACUCAAAUAUUUGUGGAUCUUGGUAUGCAUGGGGGUCCUAAAACCAAUCCCCCACAGAUAUUGAGGGCUGACUAUACUUUGUAUAAACACUAUGUCACUAACUCAGGAUUUCACUAGGAGGCCACUACAUAUAAAUAGGUCAAACAAAACAAAAGAAAAACAAAACACCUUCCCAUGACCUAAUUUUGAUGCCUACCUUCACAGAGUCACAGAGUUACUUGAACAAUACGCUUUUAUGAAGUUUAAUGUGCAAGGUAAUUUAUUAUUAAAAACUACUGGAUGCUGCUAUUCAAUACACAGUUAAGUCCUACAUUGAAAAUUUGAAAUCUAGGUGUUCAUUUUAUAUAGUAUACGUGUUACUGAGUUAACAAAUAAAUCAGAUUGUUAGAACAUCCACUUUUUAAAACUUUGGUAAGAGACGGUAGAUGAAAUAUAUCUUUGUUUCAUUUUAUAUUUAAUCAUGCCUUAUCUAUUUUCUAAUUUAUGAUUAGAAAAUAUAUUUAGUCUCAUAUCUAUUAUAUAAUUUAUGAUUUUUAUAUACUUUUAUACAGUACAUGGCUAAUUAAAAAUGAGACUUGAAUCACUUCAAAUAUUAAUUCCUUUGAGAAUCACCUAGCUAGUAGAACCCAUUUCAUUCAUGUAAAUGAUUUCUUUCCAAGUUUUUUUCAUAAAAAAAGAACAUGUUUGUCAAGCUCACUAUAUUACAAUUAAAUAGUUCUUUAAAAAAAUCCAGUUUGACUAAAUUCACUAUAACUAUGAGAUGUAUGUUGAGACUCAAGCUUGAAGAGAGUGACCAAAGGGAAAAUAAAUCUUUGGAUGAGCGCUUAUUUUUAAAUGUAUCUUAACAAAAUGAUCUAGAUAUCAUUCUUCUACAUUGUUUUGAACAAAAGAAUAAUUUAAAAAAUGGAUAGUUUUAUCAAUAUUAUUUUACAGUAGUGACUCCAAAGAAAGAAUGUUCAAUUAUUGUUUGUUCUGAAUUAAAUUUAAUUCUAGUUUGAACUAGUUAACUGAUCUUUGUUUAUGAAAAAAUUUAUUUUGUUGAAUAUAAGGAAAAACUACACUUAUUAGGAAAUAACAAAUUGUAGUUUUUAAUUUAUAAUUUGGUUGAAUUGAUUUGAUUAGCUGAGACAGUCUUUUAGUUUUUAAUAUUAAACUACACAGAAGUAAAAACUAAGAUAAAUCCAUGUAAGAAGUUAUGAGAUGUACAUGAUGAAAAAAAUUCAAACAGUCUUAAACCAUUAUCUAAAAUAUUUUAAGGUCUAAGUUUAGUCUGAAAUGAAAGGAAGAUAUUUUGAAAGCAGGCAGAUAUUCAGUGUGGUUGAUUAGUUUUAAAGCAAAAUUUAUGUUGUUUUUAGUAAAUACCUGAAAAUACCCUUCCCCAGGACCGCUGGAUUGUGGUGUACUUCCCCAUACUGUAUUUUUCAACUUAAUUAAAACAAUAAGAAAAGUAAAAGAAAAAACAAAAACUCAUGAAAAAUAAUAAACAAUGACUUAAAAGUAAAUAUACAAAAAACAAAAGAAACAUUUUAAUAUGACGUUUACUAUGGUAUGAAAUUAGAAUACAACUUUGAAGCUGAUCUUCCUUCUAAUUUCUGCUACUAUCUAUAAAUAAAAUACAUAAAUGAGUACCAAUAUUCUACAUUUACAUUUGUGUAAGAUGUAGUUUAAUAUGGAUUCUCACUUGAAAGAAAAAUUAUUCAACAAAAUCCUUUCUACUUAAGAGAAAGUAGUUAUGGAGCCUUUACUGUGCAUGUAAAAUAUAAAACACGAACACCUGCUUCAUGGCUCUCAGAUGAUGUUAUGAGGGCAGUGCCCACUACUUGGUAAUAUACAGACAGUUCAAUCAUCGUAAUCCAUACUUUGAUUGUAGUCAGAAAUUAAUAUUUUGAAAUAGUAUAAUACCAUAAUUUUGUAAUCUGUAAAAACUAUUUAACAAUGUUUAUCUCCAACAAAUUAUAUAUCUCUUACUGUAUCCUGGAUAUUAAAAGUUACUCUAGGUCCAGGAGAUGCUGCAUCCACACGGAUUUCUGGGAGCUCUUCAGUUUCUCCUACUCGAGAACUGCAAGUAAAAUAUAAAGUUAUAAAACACUAAUAUUCUCAUGAUAAAGUCUGAUUAAUGGCAAUACCAUUCUGUUUCUAAAUAUUUACCUUAUCAAAGGAUUGAACUUUCUCUUAACCUUUAGCAUACCAUAAAAAGGACUCAAUGUUUUGGUUAACUCAAGAUUUUUCUAAAACUAAAUCAUAUAAAAAGAAUUUAUACUUCUUAUAGUGCUUAUAUACUAUUAAAACUGUAUUUCACUUCAAUAAAUGUGAAAUUUCCAUUUUUUUCAUAUGCUAAAUGUCUGUGUGACAAUAUCUUUUCUAAACUGACAAAUUUAGAGCAGUAGCUACUAGUAAGCAUGUUUUAAUUCCUUUAGAUAAUCUGUAAGUUUACGCAUAAAACUUGUCUAUCUUUCUAAACCACAGUUUUAUGUAAAUAAAAAACUUGUCUAAAUAGCAAUGUGCUUCAUUUCUAAAAAGCACACACUGUACUGUGGUUAUAUGAUGACGGGUUCCUUAAAUAAACUUCUGAGUUUGAUAAUAUCCACUAUUAUUGCUAUUUUACAAAUAAAAUUAAUUUGUUAUCUUAAUUUUAUGAUUAGAACAUAAAAAAGUAGUUGACCUUGGUAAAAGAGUCAACAAUUUUA
Callithrix jacchus (white-tufted-ear marmoset) is the source of this 9025-nucleotide non-coding RNA. NCBI's taxonomy places the organism in Eukaryota, Metazoa, Chordata, Mammalia, Primates, Cebidae. The record is from RefSeq and is a predicted model, not a curated record.